UGGGGAAUAUUGGACAAUGGGCGCAAGCCUGAUCCAGCAAUGCCGCGUGGGUGAAGAAGGCCUUCGGGUUGUAAAGCACUUUCGGACGGAACGAAAUCGCGCGAUCUAAUAAGCCGCGUGGAUGACGGUACCGUACGAAGAAGCACCGGCUCACUACGUGCCAGCAGCCGCGGUCAUACGGAGGAUCCAAGCGUUAUCCGGAAUUACUGGGCGUAAAGAGUUGCGUAGGUUGCAUUGUAAGUUGCUAGUGAAAGCGUUCGGCUCAACCGAAUAUACAUUAGCAAAACUACAAAGCUAGAGGACGAGAGAGGUUAUUGGAAUUCCUAGUGUAGGAGUGAAAUCCGUAGAUAUUAGGAGGAACACCGAUGGCGUAGGCAGAUAACUGGCUCGUUCCUGACACUAAGGCACGAAAGCGUGGGUAGCAAA
RNAcentral lists this ribosomal RNA (426 nucleotides) under uncultured bacterium. RNAcentral's name for it is "bacterial SSU rRNA". It matches the Rfam family "Bacterial small subunit ribosomal RNA", at positions 355 to 772 of the family's 1533-position model. The record is from RNAcentral.